AUGUCACAUUGCAUCUGCAGGAUUACUCUAGUCACUGCAGAGAAGUGUGUUGAUUCUGUCAAAUUGUUACUAAUUGAUUUUAAAUAUACCAUGGUGUGUUGCUCCAUCAGGCCUCAAAUUACAUUAACCCUAACAAAACUAUUUCCUUUAGUUACAGAUCAAAGUGUCUGGUCAGAGGGGUAGUUUGGGAAUCAGCAUAGCUGGUGGAAAGGGCUCUCUGCCUUACAAAGAUCACGAUGAGGGCAUUUUUAUUUCCAGAGUAACUGAAGGGGGGCCAUCUGAAAAGGCUGGAAUCCAUGUUGGAGACAGACUGCUAGAGGUCAAUGGCAUCAGCAUGCAGGGAGCGACCCACCACGAAGCGGUCAGCGCCCUCAGGAAUGCUGGGAGUUGUAUCAAGAUGAAAGUACUCAGAGAGAGGCUUCUACCUCGAGUGGUGCGUGACCUGGAUGUGUCUCAGGAUCCUCGGGAUGCGGCUGGACGGCAGCUGUGCAGCCAGCACGGCGGAGGCCGGAGUAAACAGCUCAAGCUGGAGAGCGCAGAAGACUGUGUAUCCAAGAAGAUUGAGGCGGUUGUGUGCAAUGGCAACGGCAUUUCUGAUUUGGAGAGUGAUCUGAAAAGGACUGUGUCUGAGCUGGUGGCGGAGGCUUUAACAAAAAACGAUUUCCUAGCAGGGGGGAAACAGACGAUGACAAUCCCCCGGAUCAUCCUCACUCAUCCCUCUACCUCAGAUGAAGAUGUGGAGCUCUUGACACAAAGCCCCUGCAGAGAACUGCUACGUGACUUUGACGGUCCUGGCAAACGAGUGCACGCUGACCGCUGCGACAGUGCUUUCUGUCCGCCCUGACCACAGAUUGGUGCUGCAGAGAUGAAGGACACAGACUAUUCCUCUCCAGCUCAAUGUUUUAUUUCAGUACUGAAGCUUCACUGAUGUUACUGUGUAGUCUAGGCAUGAAACAGACUGUUGGAAUGUGGUUUUCACUGUCACUGCAAAGCUUGUUUGCCUGUCAGUUUCAACUGCUGCUAAUAGUGUUUAAUAUUUUUUAAAGCUUUAAAUGCUUAUUAGAAAUGUUUUUUUCUUGCAAAACUGAAUUAAAAAGACUGUACAGCUCUGCAAAGUCCACAUAAAAUACAGGUUGUAGUGUCAAAUGUGAUCACUUAAACAGCGAAUGCUUGCUGGAUACCUCUGCUUCACACCACGGAGUGUAAGUUAUGGACGUAGAGGCACACAGUGUCUCCGCCCAUGACAGUGUGAAGCCCUUAAACCUUUUAUAGCCCACGUUGUGAUAAAAUGCUACAUGGAUGAACAGAGUGCACAGCAGGGAGUCUGAAUCCCACAGAGACCUGAGACUGACUGAACUCUGCUUCUCAUCUUCACACACCUGCUGUAUGAGCAAAAUGCACACUUGUGAGAUUAUACGCAGAGCCGAGGGAGAGACCGGACACAUCGCAGGAGGAAUCUGCAAUCUCGCUUCCACAGCCCUAGAAUGCUCAGCCCGUAAAUGCAUAAUUACCUCGUGUUACUUUCUCAAUAAAGAGCAACAAUAUCAAUAUUCCAAGAGGCUUUUAUCUGAGUGGCAGGAGGCGUGUUUACUUGUGCAAAUGUAAGAUUGCACAAUGCUGCUGUUUCUGUUUUCACUCUUCCUUUGCCCACAAAAAAAACUGUCUGCUUCUUUAACAUAUGAUAGUGAUGACUCCUGGGUGAUAUUCCCUUAGGGAUACGACCUGUUUGGAAAGCACAUCCAGUGUGCGAAAUUCAAUUCAGAGUCUAUUAUGUGAAACUGUCUCAAGAGGCGUUUGUGUAAAUUCGCAGGAGAUGAGGAGGAUGAACAUGGAUUUGGAGGACUAGAUAAUAAACUGUGAAUCUGGGAAGAUUGUCACAGGGUAUAUGUUUCCAUAAGUGCCUUUACUGUAGGAAGCAUAUAUUCAUUUGACAAUGUCAAAUGAUUUACUGAUUUUUAGUCUUCAAAUAAUGAAAAACGAUACAUUAUGGGUUGGUUUUCUGAUAUUACUGAGCAAUCAAAUCUGUAUUUAUUCAUUUGCACACAC
Molecule: long non-coding RNA, 2046 nt
Filed under: Oreochromis niloticus (Nile tilapia)
Lineage: Eukaryota; Metazoa; Chordata; Actinopteri; Cichliformes; Cichlidae
Description: lncRNA (ENSONIG00000034561.1)
Source: RNAcentral